Molecule: long non-coding RNA, 8535 nt
Filed under: Sus scrofa (pig)
Lineage: Eukaryota; Metazoa; Chordata; Mammalia; Artiodactyla; Suidae
Description: lncRNA (ENSSSCG00000062868.1)
Source: RNAcentral
CUCUCGACUGGCUGCAGUCUGUUCCCCGUGCUGCCUUCGGAGAGAUCCUUGUAAAAUGCAAAUCAGGUCUGCAGUCCCCCAUUUAAAACCCUCCGGUGGUUCUCCACGGCCCUGAGGCUGAGUCCACACUCCUUCCUAGGACUUCAAAUGCCCUUCAUUAUCUGGUGUCUGUCGCAUUCUCCCAUCUUCUGCUGGACGCUCCAGCCGUCUCGAGCUGUCUGCUCUGUUUUCCUCCCUCCUGAGCCUGUGCAGAAGGGACCGCUGCCCGGCGCCUCCUCCUUCCUGGCCUUCCUUUCCCUUCCUCCAGCCAACUCCCAAGCGAACUCCUACUCACCUGGUUCUGCCCAAGCAUCCGUGGCUCUGGCAUCCUCCCCUGACCACCCCCUCCCCAGACUGAGCUAAGGGCGUCACCAGUGUGUUCCCAUGGCAACCUGGCUGGACAUACCCGGAGGUAAUGCUGAAAUUACUCGCUUGCAUCGCUGUCUUCCCGCGGGCAUCUCGAGAGCAGGGAAUGUGUUUCGUUCACCUUCACUUCAUCGGCGCCCAACACAGGGAUGCUGGCCAAGUAAAUACUCAGGAAGAACUGCUGAACAAGCGCAAGAACAAGCAAACUGUUGGUGGAGAGGUGAACUGGUACAACCACCUCGGAAAACGGAAUGGAGGUUCUUCAAAACAUUCAAAACAGAAUUAUCUAUGACCCCGCCUCUGGCUAUACACAUGAAGGUGAUGAAAUCACUAUCUCACAAAUACCAAAAAGGAAGGAACAAGCAAAUGAAACUUCAAGGACUACGCAGAAGACUAACGGGCAGGUGGCCGCACAGUAGGAACCUUUUACUCGCUUACUGCGUGGAACGUGGGGGACUCUGCUGUCGGCUUUUCCUGUCGGACCCAAGCCUUCCUACCUACCCUCUGCUCUUACCUGAGCAAAGUCUCACCAGCCUCCUCCCACAGGAGGCCUUCCGGGGUCCUUACCGACGUACCUGCGAGGAUGCCCACGUACACCCGGGCUGUCUCGGGGGGACGCUGUGUAAUUCUUUCCCCUGCAAAGGCUAAAUCAAUCACGUGCACCUCAUACACACGACGCCCAUCAGCCUGAGUGUGGGUCUGUCUCCUUCCUUCCUUCUGGCCCCAGUGCCUUUACCUUCGGUUCUUUGGGGAACACGCCUAACCCUUUGUACCCAACCCUGAGGCUCUGUCCCUCCUCCCUCACGCUUAGCAAGGCCUCGUAAAACCCCCCGCUUCAAUCCCUUCUCACUCCCCCUCACUCUCCCGCCCUGUUAUUUCCAAAGUUUUGCCCGCCUCGGCGGAUUUCAACCUUUCGAGUCUUCCUCUGAUUCUCGUGUGUAGAUGAGAUGGCCCCCUUUCUCCUGUCGUGAGCUCAGCCAGGACGUAGGACAGGGGGUCAGGGUGCCAGAGGAGGGAGAGAAGCUGCUGCACGUGGCAUCUAGAACAACCAGCUGCUCCGUGUUUGUGUCGGUAGGAGUCUUUCCCUCCACUGCCAUUCAUGAGUGCAUCCGUGCUGUGCACGUGCACACACACACACACACACACACACACACGCACACACACACGCACACGCAGCCUUGACCUAGGGAGGCAGCUGAAGGAGAGUCCAUGAGGAAACCCCCUUAUCAGUGAGCCUGGUGGUGGGAACCACGGUGAAUCACUGAGGCAGCAGAACAGGUCAUUGCAGCGUAUCUCCUGCAUUGUGCCCCAGUCGCUCUCUGUCUUGGGUCUUCUCCUUUAGAAGGAGGCUAACCAUAGUGCCUGCCUCCUGGGUUACGUGAAGGGGUGUCUGCCGAGUGCUGAGAACAGGCUGGACACUCAGUGAGGGCUGAAAGUGACAGCGGGCAGCUAAAGCCAACACGGAAGUCCAGAGCCCAGGACCCAGGGCAUCCUGUGUGUAUUUUUCCAGAAGCUCCAUGCUUAGCUGUUGUUUGUAAAAUGCCCCUCCCCCUAGAGGAGCCCUGAGUUCAGGGUUCUUUUGAGAACAGCUGGGGUGGUGCUGGAUCCCUGUCACCACCUGCUCCACGCGGGGUGGCUUUUAGAAACCUCACAGGGGUGCUGACACUGAAGCAGGUAAUGAUCGUGUCAUCAGGGUAGCACCCCUCCAUCCGGAAGGUGGGCUGAGGCUUGAAUGAGUCCAGCCUAUGAAAGUGUAAAGACUCCAGCUUUCUUCCUGAAGAAGCCAAUGGACCGAGUAUGUUGCAAACAAUUUUUGACAGUGACCUACAGAAAGAGAAACAUCUUCUGCUGUGACCCAGUAGACAGGCACGUAGAUUUAUGGCUGGAAAAUAAAAAGCAGCCUAAAACAAUAUCUUUGCUAUAUACAACACACUGGGAAAUUUUUUCUUUUCUUCUUCUUUUUAAUAAAUACCAUUUAUGACCACUGAAUUGAUCUCGCCACCCACCAAUGGGUCAUGAUCAGCCGCUUGACAAACACCAAGUCAGAUCAAAAGUCUUCAGGAAUUCUUUAGGAAUGGGCUAAUGAUCAGAAAUAGAAUCCUAUAAAAGACUCUAAAAAUUCUUUAAUGGAAGAAAGAUGACUAUUGAUUUGGGUCUGUGUACCCAUGUUUUUUGUUCUCCUUGAGAAUUUAAAUUGCAAAGAGAAAUUCUCAAGUUCAGGUGUGUUUUACAAAAAUGCCUUUGCCUGAUAAAAUAGAAGUAAUGGCACACCAGGAGGCAUUGUGGGACACACGGAUGUCUCUAGGACAAGUAAUUGUCCUGAGUAUUAUCCAGCUGAACUCUGACUAGACAGAACCAUAAAAUGCAGUGCUGUAAAAACAGCUCUUUCUCUUUGGCCCUGUUCCCAAUCUGCAAAAGUAUCUGAAAUACACCAACACCUUAAAAUCCGUGAGCCCUUUUGACAACUGAUAUCAAAAUAAUUUGAGGUCUUCUUCCCACUGGACAAGUUGCCACGACCCUGUAGUCUCCUGUGUAACAAACACCCCAAAGGCUUGCUUGUGCACAGGACUUGGCAAGUUACAAAGAGUUUUAGGGCAUGUCAGCUGGACCUCCUCACAAUCCCGUGUGGUGUAUUGCGCAGGUAUUUUCAUACAUUGCGGUGAUGACUGUACCGCCAUGUAAGACUUAAUGGUUUCCAUUUUCAUCAUAAAGAUGGGACAGCCUCCCUGAACUUUGGUUUCUUCAUCUGUGAAACAGGCAUUACUGUGAGAUAUCACUGGCCAAUUAAAAUGCUCCAACUGAAAGACCAUACCUGCAUCCAGCUGACCCUGAUUUAUUCUAUUUAAAUGCCACUUUUAAAAAUAUGGUCUGCCCUCUAUACCCAUGGGUUCCAUCUCGGGAAACUGGGAAGCAGGAAGAAGGAAGAGAACAAAUGAAUUCCUAUGGACCCUUGAGGAACAAAAAAAUAGAGAUGGUGGAACAUCUCAACCUCUAGCAGGACCCAGAGAAUAGAAAAAACUUCUUGUGACAAAAAAACACAGAAUGGAGGAUGAAUCCCGUUCCACCUGGGCUGCUGGAGGCAUCCCUUUGUAAAAUGAACUAGCAGCCAGUGUGUGCAGAAAUUAAAAGAAAAUUGGAUGACUUUCACAGGUGUAAAGAUACACUGAGCUUGCCUGGUGUGCUGACGUGGAUAGGGUUUGACAGCAGGACUCGCUGGGGAUUUGAGCUGAAGAUCAUGAAAGAUCAUAGCUCAUCAAGGCAAGAUGAAGAAGUGAAGGUGAAGCCGAAGAAGGGCCAGGAGGGACUGACUGUGGAUAACAGCUUUCAGGGGGAAGUUGAUGCUUAAAUUAACAACUAAGUAAUAUCUUAAAGUCUGAGAAUACAUAAGACACCAAGAAAAGAGAGCUUUGCUGUUGUCCAAGAUUCAAGAUAAAAGUUCAUUUAUUCACUGCAACCCAAGAGAUGGGACCAGAGGCAGAUACUGUUCAUAUAUGCUUUGACUCUGGUAAGAUUCUUGUGUGCUCUCUCCAGUUAAAUCUUCCUACCUGGCAAUUAGUUCCUCAUCGCCCUGAAAAGCCCACACUGGGAACUUGACUCCUCAAGCAUAGAAUACCAUUUGGCAGCCAGGAAGGAAGGAGUUAAAGAAGCAUGGUUGUGGCACAGCUGGGAGCCAUUAACAAUUAAGUUCUUGGACAGAAACCCAGCAGGAAGCUGACAAGGGGCUGCAGAGACACAAUGGCCUCUCCAAAGUAAAAACUUGAUUUAGAAAUGAAUGAGCUGCCUUUACUGGUGAAACUUCCGCAACACCUAAAUCCCCUAAUUAAGAAUGAAGAGCAGAUACUGGUUAAGAGUUUAUAUUAUGCUUUGCCAUGAGCCAGCGUUUUUAAUAAGAAAGAUAAUAAGUUAAUAAUUUCUGAAAAUAUAUUUCGAAAAACUACAGAAGAUAAGGGCGUGGUCCUGACCUGACUUAAAAAUCCUAACAGGUGAACCAACGUGAGGUGCUUGGUGCCUCAGCCAUUUGCCUCUCGAUUCUGUUUCCAUUUUUGAUGGCAAGAGGCUGGGUUUCGGAGAUACACUAAGAAAUCUCGUACUUUUGUGUGCGAGGAUUAGUAUUAUCUUAAGUGCAGUACUAGUACUGGUACUGGUAUUAUCUUCAAUGCAGUUCCCAGGUCUCAUGCUUUUCGGCUUACUUUUUCCCUGACCCCCUUGCAUUAAAGACCCCGUCUUCCUCGGAUUUCUCGUUCCUCCUCACCCCAGCAGGACCCAGGCCGGACCGCCAGGCUUCCCGACCGUCGUCUGGCAAAGCUUCAAUUCGUGACAAAUUUGCAGAAACCCGUGGGUUACUGUAAGGAGUGAGAAGCUUCUGAAAAACGCCAGCCAGUCUUCAUUUCUCCCUCCUGGUACCCUCGACAGUCUCUACAUGUUUGUUUCGUCACUGUCAUCCAACCUGAUCGCGCUGCGUUUGGUACUUUAUCUCAUGGUGUCCUUGAGCCAUUCCGUUGUCUAGGGUGUAAACCAUCACCUUCUACUUAACACUGCAAACCCCUGACAGCAAGGAAACGCCUCGUGAUUCCUGUUUGUCCUCUCUCCUGCCUUGCACGACAAAACUUACAGGGUAAAAGGUCCUGUCAGGACUGAGGGGGCCCCUCCACGGAACCGAAAGCCACCCAGGCUGUUUCGGAAGGUAAGAAGCUGACAAGGAGCAAAAGAGGACACUGAGGUGGAAGGUAGGAGACAGGGCCAAAAAGCCUCCUCUGCGUCAGACCCUUGAGGAGAAUAUGAUACUAAAAGGCAAAGGGAAGAGCAUUCAGCUGACAGACUUUGUGCUUACUGGUGUCAGACUUGAGCCGAGGAGGAAAGUGAGAACCACCGUCUUACCUGGUCACCGUUACUGCUGGCUGGCAUAGCAUCAGACACGCAGAGGAACCCAACUGCAGGUGCUGAAUGGAGGGAGAGAUGGAGAUAGUCAGUCAGCAAUCAGUGAUACUAUCAGUAAUUGGCUGGAUUAGCCAGGGAAUAUUUCCCAGACAUGUCGGGGCAGAUGGUAAUUUCAUGAUGAGAAGGGGACAUAUUGCGAGGCUUCCCAAGGAAUGAGAAUGCUGAGGCAAAGGUUCCUGCCUAAGGAAUCCCAGGGAAGGGACGAUAAUAGAACGCCUUUUCUUUCUAAGAGUGUUCGGGGUGCUGUGUGGACGGUGGUUAGGAGCCCUUGAAAGUUAUGAGCGUUGGAGAGGUGCGUCUUAAAGGAGCUUGGGGUGGAGAAUAAUUUAAGUUGAUGGAGGCAGAACCUUGAGAGGCCAUCAGGGAGUCAGGGCCGUUAGGGGAUUAACUCAAACAGAUGAUUGGGAUAGUCUACCAGGAACAGGAAGAUGCAGGGGGAAAGGGCCUGCUUUGGCUUAAUGUUCUUGGGGAGUGUCGCUUUCUGGAACCUGGCCCUACAGAGGUCUGUGAUGUUGAGCACAAGCUGGCAAGUCCCUGGAGCACUUAGAAGGCAGUUUCCUGCCCUCAUGUGGAAGGUGAAGCCCCUGACCUCAAAUCUGAGGAAUGUGGUACUUUGGUCUCUUCAUCAUAAAGAAUUUUCCCAGAGCCAGCGACAUACAAACGCAGGAUGCCUGGACUGAGUGGAAAGUGCUCUGCAGAACGGAAGCUCCAAAGGACGACUGGCCUUGAAAGACGAGGCCAGUGGCACCGGCUUGCGACCAGCCCAAAGAGGUCGACUGACCGGCUUUCACAGCCGGACAAGAACGGAAAUCUUCAAAGGGUCCCCGAUGAUUAGCUUGUGUCAGGAGCAAAAAACUAGAUAAGGAGCCCCCUUUCACCGGCACCCCGAGCCACACUCAUUCUUCGACUCUUUGAAAUGUCAGCUGGGAUUCUGUCUGUGGACACAAAGGAGGACGCCGCCAGGCUGGGCGACCACUGACCUAUCAGUGGUCGAGAGAGUCUGGAAGCAGUGUAAGUAGCACAGACAGCUCUUGUGUGAUAAGGUUUUUUAUCUUCUUGUGAGACGUAGUCCCAAAUUUCAGCAGACUCCUUGGCUGGAAGGAAAGUACGACCUCACGUCUCGAUCAAUUUUGAUUUAUAUUCAUUUUUUUCCUGUAUGAGUUUGACACACAUUUGUCAAGGAAAAACUAUUUUAUAAAAGCAUUUUUUUUCAUGCUGUAGGUAGGAAUUUUCUGUGCUUUCUAAUUAGACCCUAUAAAAAGCCGGCUCCCCCAUGAGCGAAAGUUCCCUUGGGUUACCAAUAGCGGGCCUCGUUGGAAUGUCGGGAAAUUCAGGCAGAAUCGUUGGGGCCAAUCUCAUACCAUCUGCUCAGCAUCCUCAAAAAAUGCUGUUCCAGAAGGCAGUUCUUCGAGUUUUUAGGCGUGUUUUUGACUUGACUCAGUGCGGCUGAUAAAAAUAACCUUCAUAUUUUGAAUCGCAAUUCCAUGCACACUUUCCUAAAAAAAUUGGGCAAAAAUUUGUCAGUCUCUCUAGUCUCCCUCAUUGUCUGUCUCGCAAACUGUACUUAGCGGUACCAAGCAGCCUCCUUCCUUAAUGACUCUAUAUUGAGAGACGGCGUCCUCUUGUUAGAGCAGGUGCUGGGUGGAUGUCUUCCUCUGGUCACUUGUCCUCUGCCUCGUGGACUCAGAGUGGCCGCAGCCUCUCUCGUUUGAGUGAUGAGACCAUAUCGGCUGAACAGGGAGUUCUUGCCAUCAGGGUGAACGGAAUGUCUUUAAUUUUUAUUAUGCAUCUGCUGUAAACUCAACUCAAAUAGAGAAGGAGGCGAGCAGAAACCAAAAUGACGUCUUGUGCAGACGCAUAGGGUUUUCUCCGAAAAGAACUUAUUCUUUAUCAAGGACUGAGAAAGUGUCCUUUUCCCUUUUCCUUCAGCGUAUGAAAUAUUUACUUGUUAGCCCGCCUCUGAAAUAACCGUUUUCCAUAGAGCUGCAGCCGCCCAGCCCAUCAGUGUGCUGGUUAAUUAAGUGUGACCUAAACCAACUUGACUUGAGCUCUGCAUUAAAUGCACAAAACCCAUUUGAGCUGACCAGCAGCAGAAGUGGUACUCAGAGAAAUUGGAAAGGAUUUCUCCCAAAUGCGUUCUCCUUACUUACAGCACUCAAGUAAUGGUUGAAGAUUAGCAUAUGACAUGACAGAUCACAUUAAGUCAUGUCUCUGCAGUGCUUUAUGACAGCACUAUCACAUUAGCUUCUUAGCACUGGCACAUCGAGGCAUGCAAAUGUUUUCAGACCCUCUUAUUCAAAUCUACAAGCUGACAUGGCAGCUCUGAUAUGAUUAUUAGUCAUUUGAGAGACUUUAAUUCACGUCAUCAGAUAACAGGUUCUGCUAAAAGGUUACAGAAACUGUCUGCUUUUAAUGAAGCUCUCAAAAAAGACCCUCAGAAACCCCGUUACACACCAAGAGCCUGGGUUGACUUUAUUGACAAGACCCUGCUAAGAAUGAACUUGAGUGGAGUAGCUGAAGAGGCCUCCAGACAUUGCCCGUGUUGUCGGUUUUUUGGAGAAUACCGUGAGGGGUGGUGGCGGGGCUCUCCCUUUCCCCGGUACUCCCUCCAGCCUGUUCUCACUUGACUCUAGCCUCCCGUACACGGCAGGGGGGGAGCCGUGGACAUUUUUAGAAUGUGACCUCCAGUAGGAGUCUCCCCAGCGUAAAGAUAAUCAUUCCUGGAACUUUCAUUACAGUUUGGGCAUCGGCACUGCCACAGGGCACAGUAGUGGGCUCAUGGUGUCUGGCCACGCAUGGCACUGAGUGGCGACGUGAUCCAAGACCACUGGUUUGUCAUCCAGAGUGUGCUGUGCGUCGGUUCUGCAGCCAAAUGCUUUGUUCUAAAGGGCGGUGGUCUGCACUUAGGCGUCGUAGGAACCCCCUUUUCAAAAUGCUUCCGUGUGGAUCAGUGGAGUUUGGCCAGCGAUGAUCUUGUUGGAAUGAGGGGAGGUGGCCGAUGAUCUUGUUGGAAUGAGGGAAGGUGGGGUCAGGAAGAUGCAAGGGGCAGAGCACCAGAGAGAGGCUUCUGCAGGCGCCCACGUCUUUCGCGAAGGAUCCAUGAGAAAACCCAUGUCCUCAAACUUGGAGAAAGGAAUGCAAAUGCACUUUUUCAUCUCUUACUUUUUUCUUAUGGUCCAAAAGAGUGAAUAC